GAUGAACGCUGGCGGCGUGCCUAAUACAUGCAAGUCGAGCGAACAGAUGAGGAGCUUGCUCCUCUGACGUUAGCGGCGGACGGGUGAGUAACACGUGGAUAACCUACCUAUAAGACUGGGAUAACUUCGGGAAACCGGAGCUAAUACCGGAUAAUAUAUUGAACCGCAUGGUUCAAUAGUGAAAGACGGCUUUGCUGUCACUUAUAGAUGGAUCCGCGCCGCAUUAGCUAGUUGGUAAGGUAACGGCUUACCAAGGCAACUAUGCGUAGCCGACCUGAGAGGGUGAUCGGCCACACUGGAACUGAGACACGGUCCAGACUCCUACGGGAGGCAGCAGUAGGGAAUCUUCCGCAAUGGGCGAAAGCCUGACGGAGCAACGCCGCGUGAGUGAUGAAGGUCUUCGGAUCGUAAAACUCUGUUAUUAGGGAAGAACAAAUGUGUAAGUAACUAUGCACGUCUUGACGGUACCUAAUCAGAAAGCCACGGCUAACUACGUG
Molecule: ribosomal RNA, 497 nt
Filed under: uncultured bacterium
Lineage: Bacteria
Description: partial 16S ribosomal RNA
Rfam family: Bacterial small subunit ribosomal RNA
Source: RNAcentral